UAUCCAUAUAAACUAUACACAAAAUAAGUCACCAUAACAUAAUAACAACUUAAAAUAAAAGAAUAAAAGGGCUGGCAAUUAAACUGCAUUUUCGGUCUUUUGAAAUAAUAAAACGAUGUCAUUUUGAUUAAAUUAGCUGAAUGGAAAAACAAUAAUGAAGACUCGCUUGAUCCGUUAAAUCGCAACGGAUUGAUGGGUACUCAGCUGGUCUGCUGGAUUUUUCUCGACUUUGGUGAUACGCGUGUUUUAAAGAUAAAUCAAACCAUUUGACGAAUUGAUUUAAAAUUUUUGUAGUUCAACCAAUUGGGUAGGUUUGAUUUUUGAAAACAUAGUCCAAACAAAUUGACGCCCGGCCUGACUAGAAGAAUAAUAUAAAACCCAAUUGGACAGAAACAAAAGAAACGAAAAAAAAA
Molecule: unclassified non-coding RNA, 413 nt
Filed under: Hevea brasiliensis (rubber tree)
Lineage: Eukaryota; Viridiplantae; Streptophyta; Magnoliopsida; Malpighiales; Euphorbiaceae
Source: RNAcentral